GGUUAAGCGACUAAGCGUACACGGUGGAUGCCCUGGCAGUCAGAGGCGAUGAAGGACGUGCUAAUCUGCGAAAAGCGCCGGCGAGGUGAUAUGAACCCUUGACCCGGCGAUGUCCGAAUGGGGAAACCCAGUGCAAUCCGUUGCACUAUCGUUAACUGAAUACAUAGGUUAACGAGGCGAACCGGGGGAACUGAAACAUCUAAGUACCCCGAGGAAAAGAAAUCAACCGAGAUUCCCCCAGUAGCGGCGAGCGAACGGGGAGCAGCCCGGAGUCUGAAUCAGCUUGUGUGUUAGUGGAACGGUCUGGAAAGUCCGACGGUACAGGGUGAUAGUCCCGUACACGAAAGCACACUUGCUGUGAACUCGAAGAGUAGGGCGGGACACGUGGUAUCCUGUCUGAAUAUGGGGGGACCAUCCUCCAAGGCUAAAUACUCCUGACUGACCGAUAGUGAACCAGUACCGUGAGGGAAAGGCGAAAAGAACCCCGGCGAGGGGAGUGAAAAAGAACCUGAAACCGUGUACGUACAAGCAGUGGGAGCCUACUUGUUAGGUGACUGCGUACCUUUUGUAUAAUGGGUCAGCGACUUAUAUUCUGUAGCAAGGUUAACCGUAUAGGGGAGCCGAAGGGAAACCGAGUCUUAACUGGGCGUUAAGUUGCAGGGUAUAGACCCGAAACCCGGUGAUCUAGCCAUGGGCAGGUUGAAGGUUGGGUAACACUAACUGGAGGACCGAACCGACUAAUGUUGAAAAAUUAGCGGAUGACCUGUGGCUGGGGGUGAAAGGCCAAUCAAACCGGGAGAUAGCUGGUUCUCCCCGAAAGCUAUUUAGGUAGCGCCUCGUGAACUCAUCUUCGGGGGUAGAGCACUGUUUCGGCUAGGGGGCCAUCCCGGCUUACCAACCCGAUGCAAACUACGAAUACCGAAGAAUGUUAUCACGGGAGACACACGGCGGGUGCUAACGUCCGUCGUGAAGAGGGAAACAACCCAGACCGCCAGCUAAGGUCCCAAAGUCAUGGUUAAGUGGGAAACGAUGUGGGAAGGCACAGACAGCCAGGAUGUUGGCUUAGAAGCAGCCAUCAUUUAAAGAAAGCGUAAUAGCUCACUGGUCGAGUCGGCCUGCGCGGAAGAUGUAACGGGGCUAAACCAUGCACCGAAGCUGCGGCAGCGACACUAUGUGUUGUUGGGUAGGGGAGCGUUCUGUAAGCCGUUGAAGGUGUGCUGUGAGGCAUGCUGGAGGUAUCAGAAGUGCGAAUGCUGACAUAAGUAACGAUAAAGCGGGUGAAAAGCCCGCUCGCCGGAAGACCAAGGGUUCCUGUCCAACGUUAAUCGGGGCAGGGUGAGUCGACCCCUAAGGCGAGGCCGAAAGGCGUAGUCGAUGGGAAACAGGUUAAUAUUCCUGUACUUGGUGUUACUGCGAAGGGGGGACGGAGAAGGCUAUGUCAGCCGGGCGACGGUUGUCCCGGUUUAAGCAUGUAGGCGGAGGUUCCAGGUAAAUCCGGUACCUUUUAACGCUGAGGUGUGAUGACGAGGCACUACGGUGCUGAAGUGAUAAAUGCCCUGCUUCCAGGAAAAGCCUCUAAGCAUCAGGUAACACGAAAUCGUACCCCAAACCGACACAGGUGGUCAGGUAGAGAAUACCAAGGCGCUUGAGAGAACUCGGGUGAAGGAACUAGGCAAAAUGGUGCCGUAACUUCGGGAGAAGGCACGCUGAUGUGUAGGUGAAGCCCCUGCGGGCGGAGCUGAAAUCAGUCGAAGAUACCAGCUGGCUGCAACUGUUUAUUAAAAACACAGCACUGUGCAAACACGAAAGUGGACGUAUACGGUGUGACGCCUGCCCGGUGCCGGAAGGUUAAUUGAUGGGGUUAGCUGUAAGGCGAAGCUCUUGAUCGAAGCCCCGGUAAACGGCGGCCGUAACUAUAACGGUCCUAAGGUAGCGAAAUUCCUUGUCGGGUAAGUUCCGACCUGCACGAAUGGCGUAAUGAUGGCCAGGCUGUCUCCACCCGAGACUCAGUGAAAUUGAACUCGCUGUGAAGAUGCAGUGUACCCGCGGCAAGACGGAAAGACCCCGUGAACCUUUACUAUAGCUUGACACUGAACACUGGUCCUUGAUGUGUAGGAUAGGUGGGAGGCUUUGAAGCGUGGACGCCAGUCUGCGUGGAGCCAACCUUGAAAUACCACCCUUUAAUGGCUGGUGUUCUAACGUAGACCCGUAAUCCGGGUUGCGGACAGUGUCUGGUGGGUAGUUUGACUGGGGCGGUCUCCUCCCAAAGAGUAACGGAGGAGCACGAAGGUUGGCUAAUCCUGGUCGGACAUCAGGAGGUUAGUGCAAUGGCAUAAGCCAGCUUGACUGCGAGCGUGACGGCGCGAGCAGGUGCGAAAGCAGGUCAUAGUGAUCCGGUGGUUCUGAAUGGAAGGGCCAUCGCUCAACGGAUAAAAGGUACUCCGGGGAUAACAGGCUGAUACCGCCCAAGAGUUCAUAUCGACGGCGGUGUUUGGCACCUCGAUGUCGGCUCAUCACAUCCUGGGGCUGAAGUAGGUCCCAAGGGUAUGGCUGUUCGCCAUUUAAAGUGGUACGCGAGCUGGGUUUAGAACGUCGUGAGACAGUUCGGUCCCUAUCUGCCGUGGGCGCUGGAGAAUUGAGGGGGGCUGCUCCUAGUACGAGAGGACCGGAGUGGACGCAUCACUGGUGUUCGGGUUGUCAUGCCAAUGGCACUGCCCGGUAGCUAAAUGCGGAAGAGAUAAGUGCUGAAAGCAUCUAAGCACGAAACUUGCCCCGAGAUGAGUUCUCCCUGAGACUUUAAGUCUCCUGAAGGAACGUUGAAGACGACGACGUUGAUAGGUCGGGUGUGUAAGCGCAGCGAUGCGUUGAGCUAACCGAUACUAAUGAACCGUGAGGCUUAACCUU
RNAcentral lists this ribosomal RNA (2904 nucleotides) under Enterobacter hormaechei. RNAcentral's name for it is "23S ribosomal RNA". It matches the Rfam family "Bacterial large subunit ribosomal RNA". Lineage: Bacteria; Pseudomonadati; Pseudomonadota; Gammaproteobacteria; Enterobacterales; Enterobacteriaceae. The record is from RNAcentral.